CCUACGGGUGGCUGCAGUCGAGGAUCUUUCGCAAUGGGCGCAAGCCUGACGAAGCGACGCUGUGUGAAUGAUGAAGGCCUUCGGGUUGUAAAGUUCUUUCGCGAAAGAGCAAGAGAAGCCAGUGAAUAGCUGGCUGAUUUGAGUGUACUUCGUAAAGAAGCACCGGCUAACUCCGUGCCAGCAGCUGCGGUAAUACGGAGGGUGCAAGCAUUAAUCGGAUUUAUUGGGCGUAAAGGGCGCGUAGGCGGGUCGAUAAGUCAGACGUGAAAUUCCGGGGCUCAACCCCGGAGCUGCGUUUGAAACUAUUGGUCUAUAGAGGGAUGACGGAGAAAUUGGAAUUCCACGUGUAGCGGUGAAAUGCGUAGAUAUGUGGAAGAACACCAGUGGCGAAAGCGGAUUUCUAGUUAUUACCUGACGCUGAGGCGCGAGAGCAAGGGGAGCAAACAGGAUUAGAUACCCGUGUAGUC
RNAcentral lists this ribosomal RNA (467 nucleotides) under uncultured Candidatus Rhabdochlamydia sp. Its description in RNAcentral is "bacterial SSU rRNA". It matches the Rfam family "Bacterial small subunit ribosomal RNA", at positions 338 to 795 of the family's 1533-position model. Lineage: Bacteria; Pseudomonadati; Chlamydiota; Chlamydiia; Parachlamydiales; Candidatus Rhabdochlamydiaceae. The record is from RNAcentral.